GACGAACGCUGGCGGCGUGCUUAACACAUGCAAGUCGAACGGAAAGGCCCUGCUUUUGUGGGGUGCUCGAGUGGCGAACGGGUGAGUAACACGUGAGUAACCUGCCCUUGACUUUGGGAUAACUUCAGGAAACUGGGGCUAAUACCGGAUAGGAGCUCCUGCUGCAUGGUGGGGGUUGGAAAGUUUCGGCGGUUGGGGAUGGACUCGCGGCUUAUCAGCUUGUUGGUGGGGUAGUGGCUUACCAAGGCUUGGACGGGUAGCCGGCCUGAGAGGGUGACCGGCCACAUUGGGACUGAGAGACGGCCCAGACUCCUACGGGAGGCAGCAGUGGGGAAUAUUGCACAAUGGGCGGAAGCCUGAGGCAGCAACGCCGCGUGCGGGAUGACGGCCUUCGGGUUGUAAACCGCUUUCGCCUGUGACGAAGCGUGAGUGACGGUAAUGGGUAAAGAAGCACCGGCUAACUACGUG
RNAcentral lists this ribosomal RNA (468 nucleotides) under uncultured bacterium. RNAcentral's name for it is "partial 16S ribosomal RNA". It matches the Rfam family "Bacterial small subunit ribosomal RNA", at positions 28 to 507 of the family's 1533-position model. The record is from RNAcentral.